GACGAACGCUGGCGGCGUGCCUAAUACAUGCAAGUCGAACGCUUCUUUCCUCCCGAGUGCUUGCACUCAAUUGGAAAGAGGAGUGGCGGACGGGUGAGUAACACGUGGGUAACCUACCCAUCAGAGGGGGAUAACACUUGGAAACAGGUGCUAAUACCGCAUAACAGUUUAUGCCGCAUGGCAUAAGAGUGAAAGGCGCUUUCGGGUGUCGCUGAUGGAUGGACCCGCGGUGCAUUAGCUAGUUGGUGAGGUAACGGCUCACCAAGGCCACGAUGCAUAGCCGACCGGAGAGGGUGAUCGGCCACACUGGGACUGAGACACGGCCCAGACUCCUACGGGAGGCAGCAGUAGGGAAUCUUCGGCAAUGGACGAAAGUCUGACCGAGCAACGCCGCGUGAGUGAAGAAGGUUUUCGGAUCGUAAAACUCUGUUGUUAGAGAAGAACAAGGACGUUAGUAACUGAACGUCCCCGGACGGUAUCUAACCAGAAAGCCACGGCGAACUACGU
Molecule: ribosomal RNA, 507 nt
Filed under: uncultured bacterium
Lineage: Bacteria
Description: partial 16S ribosomal RNA
Rfam family: Bacterial small subunit ribosomal RNA
Source: RNAcentral